CCUACGGUGAGCUGCAGUGAGGAAUAUUGGUCAAUGGGCGGAAGCCUGAACCAGCCAAGUCGCGUGAGGGAUUAAGGCCCUGCGGGUCGUAAACCUCUUUUGCCGGGGAGCAGUGGUCCGGACGCGUCCGGACCGGGAGAGUACCCGGAGAAAAAGCAUCGGCUAACUCCGUGCCAGCAGCCGCGGUAAUACGGGGGAUGCGAGCGUUAUCCGGAUUUAUUGGGUUUAAAGGGUGCGUAGGCGGGCAUUUAAGCCGGCGGUCAAAUGUCGGGGCUCAACCCCGGCCUGCCGUCGGAACUGGGUGCCUUGAGUGGGCGAGAAGUAUGCGGAAUGCGUGGUGUAGCGGUGAAAUGCAUAGAUAUAUGGAAGAACACCAGUGGCGAAAGCGGCUCUUUGGUCUGUAACUGACGCUGAGGUUCGAAAGCGUGGGUAGCAAACAGGAUUAGAUACCCCGGUAGUC
RNAcentral lists this ribosomal RNA (460 nucleotides) under uncultured bacterium. Its description in RNAcentral is "partial 16S ribosomal RNA". It matches the Rfam family "Bacterial small subunit ribosomal RNA", at positions 338 to 795 of the family's 1533-position model. The record is from RNAcentral.